Molecule: long non-coding RNA, 924 nt
Organism: Monodelphis domestica (gray short-tailed opossum)
Lineage: Eukaryota; Metazoa; Chordata; Mammalia; Didelphimorphia; Didelphidae
Source: RefSeq, a predicted model, not a curated record
CCCAGCAAAACUGACUAUAUACUUCCAGGGGAAAGUAAGGUCAUUUAACAAAAUAGAAGAUUUCCAAGCAUUUGCUAAGAAAAGACCAGAGCUCUGUGGAAAGUUCGAUAUCCAAGCACAGAAAGCAAGAGAAACAUGAAAAGCCAGUUUCCAAGGUCUGCAUCCUCAGGCUAGGACGGAUGGAGGAGUGCCUUCUUUCAAGACUCUCUAAAAGGAUUGGAGCUUUAGAAGGAGAGGAAAGGAGGACAAACCAUUUUGUUGGGAAGUUCCUCUGAAACCCUUUGGCCUUCCCAUAAGUGAGGUGACUGAAGGAGUGAAGUAUAUCAGUGCCCAGAGGGAAAGCUCAAGUCCCAUCCCUAUCAUUUUUCUGUUCUUUAUGGUAUUCCAUGAGGACAGACAGACAACGGCUCUUCGAGGGAACAAUUCCUGGGUCAAAUCUAAUAUGUAGACAGAGGGGAAGAGAAGGGUGGGGGGAGAGAGGAAAAGAAGGGAUGCUCGAUCGUCUGUUGAGCCCUCUUGGGCUUGACAAGAAAGAGCUUUCUGAACUUGAAAUGUCCUAUCAAACAGCUUCCUGCAUCACCCAAAAUAGAUUGUAUCUACUUAGCAACAAGUUGGAAGCAACCGCCUGGUAAGCCAGUCUUCAUUUCCUUCCAAAAGAAAGUCAAUCACAAGUUAAAAGGUCUGCACAGAACAUUUCCUUGAUUCAUAAUGAGAUUUAUUCUCAAAGGUAAAGAAUUCAGGAAAGAAAGAAUUCUUUUUAGGAACACGGGUGCUCUGUUUUGACACAGACUCUGCAUAAUUUCCAUGUGGGGAAUGUGGGAAUCAGAUUAAACCACCAGCUUAUAAAUAGCUGUGAGCCUGUAGCCUGAGUCUCUGGCUUGUUUGUUUAUUGAUGCAUUUUUACUUCAGUCACCCCAUUUUUCU